UACAGGGGAUUAAGGAUGCAGUAAUAUGGU
This 30-nucleotide non-coding RNA is filed under the name Mus musculus (house mouse). The record is from RNAcentral. Lineage: Eukaryota; Metazoa; Chordata; Mammalia; Rodentia; Muridae.